This 32-nucleotide non-coding RNA is filed under the name Homo sapiens (human). The record is from RNAcentral. Lineage: Eukaryota; Metazoa; Chordata; Mammalia; Primates; Hominidae.
UGAACCUCAGGCCACUGUGCUGCCAUCCAGCC